RNAcentral lists this long non-coding RNA (322 nucleotides) under Cicer arietinum (chickpea). RNAcentral describes it as "long non-coding RNA (CARI_LNC000450)". Lineage: Eukaryota; Viridiplantae; Streptophyta; Magnoliopsida; Fabales; Fabaceae. The record is from RNAcentral.
ACAAAUUCAACAGUGUUGAUUUUUUUUACCACCAUUUUAAGUUUUUAUAAACAAAGAAAAGUUUCCAUCUUUAGCACAUUUGUUUAUAUUGCAAAAUAUUACCUUACACCAAACAUGGCAUAUUUUGUGAAUUAAAUUAGAGAUCAAGAUUCUCUUUAAUCUCACAAUUUGUGGAGUCAUGUAGUCAGCAAGCCGAGACAAUUUGUUUGUUUGAGACCGUUCAUUAGAUCGAAGAUCAGAUGAGUUAGGUUUAAGUUAAGAAAAUCUAAUUUAAAGAAUUAAAAAAAAAAACUAACUCAAAAUUUGCAGUGUUUGAUAUCAU